RNAcentral lists this ribosomal RNA (429 nucleotides) under Bacteroidota bacterium. RNAcentral's name for it is "Bacteroidetes bacterium partial 16S ribosomal RNA". It matches the Rfam family "Bacterial small subunit ribosomal RNA", at positions 355 to 776 of the family's 1533-position model. The record is from RNAcentral. Lineage: Bacteria; Pseudomonadati; Bacteroidota.
UAGGGAAUCUUCCGCAAUGGACGCAAGUCUGACGGAGCAACGCCGCGUGAGUGAAGAAGGAUUUCGGUUCGUAAAACUCUGUUGUUAGAGAAGAACAGCGCAUAGAGUAACUGUUAUGCGUGUGACGGUAUCUAACCAGAAAGCCACGGCUAACUACGUGCCAGCAGCCGCGGUAAUACGUAGGUGGCAAGCGUUGUCCGGAUUUAUUGGGCGUAAAGCGAGCGCAGGCGGUCAAUUAAGUCUGAUGUGAAAGCCCCCGGCUCAACCGGGGAGGGUCAUUGGAAACUGGUUGACUUGAGUGCAGAAGAGGAGAGUGGAAUUCCAUGUGUAGCGGUGAAAUGCGUAGAUAUAUGGAGGAACACCAGUGGCGAAGGCGACUCACUGGUCUGUAACUGACGCUGAGGUUCGAAAGCGUGGGUAGCAAACAGG